GGGUAACGCAUUAAAUAUAAGAAGAGAACAACGACACAACACUAAAAUGUAACACACACAGAAACGGACCAAGCAUCAGACAAAAUCCCACGAGAAUAACAAAUAUAACAUCAAAACCAAAUACAUGAAUUUGGGAUAGACAAGUACCGUGACACGUCUUAUCGCAAUGUGAAAUUACACUCAAAAAUAAGAGAAAACAAACGACGCAACGUUAAAAUGUAACACACACAGAAACGAACAAAAUAUAAACAAUGGCC
RNAcentral lists this long non-coding RNA (257 nucleotides) under Mytilus galloprovincialis (Mediterranean mussel). Lineage: Eukaryota; Metazoa; Mollusca; Bivalvia; Mytilida; Mytilidae. The record is from RNAcentral.